AAAAUGGAAACAUGUUCUUCUACGAACUGUGGAACAAGGAGGGAUCUCAGAAGACAUGUAGUAACUUCUUUUAAUAACUACCUGUGUCACUUUGGGCAAGAUUUGCACUUUGAUGAAUGCCAUCCUGGAGCUCCUAGAAACCAGUGCCAUGAGUAAAGCCAGCCUGGAAGAGAAAAGAUCUAAGCCCAGCUAUGACUGUGUCUGUCACUUGAGUUUCUUAAUAAGACCCUACAUGACCUGAAUUACAUGAGUCCCUUCUCUACUCCUUUUCUGUUCAAGCCAGUUUCAGUUAAAUUUCCAUGUUUGUUACUUGCAACUAAAAGCCCUAAAGGAGAAAUGAUAUCUUAUAAUAAUGGACUCUAUCAUUUGUAUGAACUUUCUAUCUAUAAAUGUGAUGGCCUUUGAUGACUUCUAAUUGUUAUUUCAAGUCACACGAAAAAAUGCAGAACAGCCUAGAGUUCGGUCCUGUAAACCCACAGCACGGGGCUGUGAUGACAUGGGUAUAUGGAAAUCCAUCUAUCUACAUGGAUAUAUAUGACAUGUAUGGAUAUAUGAAGAGUUUCUUAAACACAGAGAUGCCCAAUAAAUAUUUGCUGAUUUUGACAGUUUCACUUUAGCAUAAAAUAGUUUGUUUCAAGCACAAAAAUGUUUUCAUGUAUUUUUUAUUUCUCCUGUUAAACAGAUUGCAAAAACCCCCCAAAAGCUUGUCUCUUUUUAAUAUUAUAGUUCAUUUUCCCUUUAAAGAAAUAUUUCUCUUGCACAAUGAUUUGAAAUACAUUUUUCUACCAGAAAUCUAAAAAUAUUUCAAUAAGGGAAAAAAUCUAGGGUUGCAAUUUGAGGUCAUAAAAUAACACAUGCUAAAAAUUGGAGUAAAUGUAUCUUUUCUUGUCAAGAAGUAUUUAUAAAUCCCACUUAGAAGGACAUCAUUUCUCAGGAUAUUCUAAAGCCCUAAGUCAGCUGUUUAAUAGAGAAGAAUACUAAGAAAUAUGAUUCAGAUAAAAUAGUUUUAUGGCAUAUAAUUUUUUUCAUAUAUGAUUUCUUAAUGCUGUUAGAAUGUCCCUAUAAUUCAGACUCGUAAAUAUUAUGUCAAACACUUCUUUGGCUCUUGGAACACAGUAAAAUACAAUUCUCAUUAAUACUUAACUUACCAUAUUCUGCAUCACCCAGCCUGUGGCAAUUAAUGUAGCAUUUCUAUAUUUCUGUCAAUAAAAUUAAAUCUUACAUUUAAUAAAUGUAGAUAAGGACAUAAUUUUAUGUGAGAAAAUAAAAUCUGUACAAAGUCCAAAAGUGAUCUUGUUAAAGAAAAAAUAAAGUUCAAAGCACUACAAGCUUUAAGCCA
This 1339-nucleotide long non-coding RNA is filed under the name Homo sapiens (human). RNAcentral describes it as "HSALNT0271545". The record is from RNAcentral. Lineage: Eukaryota; Metazoa; Chordata; Mammalia; Primates; Hominidae.